GGCAUGAGAAGAUGUGAUUGUGAAGAGGAGUGGGUGCGGGGUUGGGAGCUAGGUGGAUUCGGAGUCGUCACCGUGGUCGUUGCUUUCUGAGAAUGGUGGAGGUGGCGGAGGAGAAUGGUAUUAAGAUCUCUCAGGAGCAGGCUUGUGAAGAAGCCACUGAAGAUGGCUGGUGUUGGCUGCGUCCCGAACCGUACCGAAAAACUGAAAAAUAUUCGGGAAUACUGAAAUUCGGGAAAGGCAAAAUUUCGGAUCGGUUUCGGUUGCUAAAAUCUCAUCCCGAACUUUUUCAGUUCGGUAUUUGGUAUAUAGUUUUCGGUUCGGUAUCCCAUACCGAACCACCCCUAAUUAUUAAGGUCUGGAAAAGUUUUAGCCUGAGAUGGACCAACUGUCUGAGGCCAAACUUGAAGAGAGGUCUUUUAUCAUAAUAUGAGAAGAUAUGCGGGAUGAAGAGGUGAGCGACAGAAACGGUGAGGUUUUAUUUUCUGAUUUGGAUUUUGAAAUUGAGUAAUUUUCUGCUUUGUGUCUUUUGAUUAGGUGUGGGAUUUAGUUUCAUGCCAGGGGUUGUAAUGGGUGGAUUGGAUGUAAAAUUUUCUUUUCAAAUUUCAAUCCCUCUAAACUUCGGGAAGCUUCGGGAAGAUGAGAAGACGAUCUUUGUGUCCCUCGAAACUUCGGGAAGCUUGAUGAUUGGUCUAUGUUUCGCGAACAGGCAGUGACACAUAUUUGGGCAGGGCUUGGAGAGGCAAACCCCAUAUGGUGUAUGCCUACUCCAACAUGACCAAGGUGUUUAGCCCUGCCGGCUGGAGCGACGAAAACCAUCCUGAAUGUAACAACAAUGUGGCCUGCAAAGAGUACAAGUGCAUGGGUUCAGGUUCAAGUACAUAUAAUGAGAGAAAUUUGAGCAAAGAACUAACUAACAAACAAGUCAAACAAGUCAAGUCUUUCAUUAGCCUUGGAUAUAUUCAGGGUUUGAACAUCUGUGCUUGACAACUUAGCUGCUCGAACAAGAACGGAACACUUUUUCUGUUUUUUGGUAACUGCUAAAACAGUUACGCUUGAAAUAGUGGUUCCCGCUGCAACGUGCGGGCUUAUUUUCUAGUGGGAUCUAAACAAGUCUUGAGGUGACGUUUAGGUAAAUGCCUACUCGCUAUUUUGUUUUGUAGGUAAGUGAGGCAAAAAUCUCCUCUGCCUUUUGUAUUCACAAUACGCAAUGGAAUCCCUGAAUUUUACGAAAGUUAAUUGGAAAGUACCAGAGUCAAGCUCCAAGCUUGAGGCUUUCAUAGCAAGAACAAGAAAAUUCGCAAAAACUCAUAAACUUCAUUUGGAAUGGUUUAGAACAAUUUGAAGGAAAUGGGCCGAGGAAAGGACCAAGAACACAACUUUACUCUUCGGGUCGACCGGGGGUGUACUUUUGCACUCAUUACGACUGUAUUUUUCUUUAUCAAAUUACAAAAAGGUUAAAGUGCAAAAUGAAAUUUUUGUAGUUCCUAUAACUAUUCCUUUUAUAAAACAUAGACUAAAUUGUACAUAGCCAUAAAACACAAGGUUGCAAAAUGUUCUUUACUCUAAAAACAAUAAGGUCCUUUUAAAUUUGCUUUCACAAGUGGAACUGUGGAAAUUUCUCUUUGACGCGAUCAUUCUUCGACACAUUGAGGGGUUUGGAAAAUGUACAUUAAUGUGUGGCUAUAGUUUUUUGCCAAUUUGUUCGGUUUGCAGUACGAUAAUAUCCUUUUAGGCUU
Pyrus x bretschneideri (Chinese white pear) is the source of this 1736-nucleotide long non-coding RNA. RefSeq lists it as uncharacterized. The transcript has 5 exons. NCBI's taxonomy places the organism in Eukaryota, Viridiplantae, Streptophyta, Magnoliopsida, Rosales, Rosaceae. The record is from RefSeq and is a predicted model, not a curated record.